UUGAAGGAUUUGUAAGAAAUGUUUGAGGAAACUGGCUCGUUGUUUAACACUGAAUCAGUUUGCUCAAACAUUUCUUACAAAUCCUUCAA
RNAcentral lists this microRNA precursor (89 nucleotides) under Paramuricea clavata. The record is from RNAcentral. Lineage: Eukaryota; Metazoa; Cnidaria; Anthozoa; Malacalcyonacea; Plexauridae.